This 497-nucleotide ribosomal RNA is filed under the name uncultured Enterobacterales bacterium. RNAcentral's name for it is "bacterial SSU rRNA". It matches the Rfam family "Bacterial small subunit ribosomal RNA", at positions 42 to 528 of the family's 1533-position model. Lineage: Bacteria; Pseudomonadati; Pseudomonadota; Gammaproteobacteria; Enterobacterales. The record is from RNAcentral.
GCAGGCCUAACACAUGCAAGUCGAACGGUAGCACAGAGGAGCUUGCUCCUUGGGUGACGAGUGGCGGACGGGUGAGUAAUGUCUGGGAAACUGCCCGAUGGAGGGGGAUAACUACUGGAAACGGUAGCUAAUACCGCAUAACGUCGCAAGACCAAAGAGGGGGACCUUCGGGCCUCUUGCCAUCGGAUGUGCCCAGAUGGGAUUAGCUAGUAGGUGGGGUAACGGCUCACCUAGGCGACGAUCCCUAGCUGGUCUGAGAGGAUGACCAGCCACACUGGAACUGAGACACGGUCCAGACUCCUACGGGAGGCAGCAGUGGGGAAUAUUGCACAAUGGGCGCAAGCCUGAUGCAGCCAUGCCGCGUGUAUGAAGAAGGCCUUCGGGUUGUAAAGUACUUUCAGCGAGGAGGAAGGCGUUGUGGUUAAUAACCGCAACGAUUGACGUUACUCGCAGAAGAAGCACCGGCUAACUCCGUGCCAGCCGCCGCGGUAAAAGGG